RNAcentral lists this ribosomal RNA (376 nucleotides) under Bombus morio. RNAcentral describes it as "partial 16S ribosomal RNA". The stretch from base 247 to 376 matches the Rfam family "Bacterial large subunit ribosomal RNA", at positions 2473 to 2603 of the family's 2925-position model. Lineage: Eukaryota; Metazoa; Arthropoda; Insecta; Hymenoptera; Apidae. The record is from RNAcentral.
GAGAUAUAUACUGUCUCAUAUAUAUAAAAUGAAUUUAAAUUUUUAGUAAAAAUGCUUAAAUAAUUUUAUGGGACGAUAAGACCCUAUAGAAUUUUAUAUUAAAAUUUUAUUAAUUAUUUAGUUAAAAUUUUAAUAUUUAGUUGGGAGGAUUAGUAAAUAAAAUUAACUUUAUUUUAAAAAUAAACUUUGAUUUAAGGAUAAAGUUUUGAUCUUAUAUUAUAAAUUAAAAGAAUAAAUUACCUUAGGGAUAACAGCGUAAUAUCUUUUUAAAGAUCAUAUUAAUAAAGAUGUUUGCGACCUCGAUGUUGAAUUAAGAUAAAUUUUAAAUGAAGAAAUUUAAAAAUUAAGUCUGUUCGACUUUUAAAAUCUUACAUGA